Molecule: ribosomal RNA, 596 nt
Filed under: Leptolyngbya sp. NK1-23
Lineage: Bacteria; Bacillati; Cyanobacteriota; Cyanophyceae; Leptolyngbyales; Leptolyngbyaceae
Description: bacterial SSU rRNA
Rfam family: Bacterial small subunit ribosomal RNA
Source: RNAcentral
UGGUCGCUAAUACCCCAUAUGCCCUUGGGUGAAAUGAGUUUUGCCUGAAGAUGAGCUCGCGUCAGAUUAGCUAGUUGGUGUGGUAAUGGCGCACCAAGGCGACGAUCUGUAGCUGGUCUGAGAGGAUGAUCAGCCACACUGGGACUGAGACACGGCCCAGACUCCUACGGGAGGCAGCAGUGGGGAAUUUUCCGCAAUGGGCGAAAGCCUGACGGAGCAAGACCGCGUGAGGGAUGACGGCCUAAUGGUUGUAAACCUCUUUUAUUCGGGAAGAUGAUGACGGUACCGAAUGAAUCAGCCUCGGCUAACUCCGUGCCAGCAGCCGCGGUAAUACGGAGGAGGCAAGCGUUAUCCGGAAUUAUUGGGCGUAAAGCGUCCGUAGGUGGUUUUACAAGUCAGCUGUUAAAGCGUGAGGCUUAACCUCAUACAGGCGGUUGAAACUGUAGGACUAGAGUUUGGUAGGGGUUGCGGGAAUUCCCAGUGUAGCGGUGAAAUGCGUAGAUAUUGGGAAGAACACCGGUGGCGAAAGCGCGCGACUGGACCUGAACUGACACUGAGGGACGAAAGCUAGGGGAGCGAAAGGGAUUAGAUACCCC